This 41-nucleotide transfer RNA is filed under the name Cuerna striata. RNAcentral's name for it is "partial tRNA-Leu". Lineage: Eukaryota; Metazoa; Arthropoda; Insecta; Hemiptera; Cicadellidae. The record is from RNAcentral.
GAAUUUAAGCUUCAUAUAUAAAUAUGAUUAUUUUUCUAGAA